GUGAAUCAUCGAGUCUUUGAAUCGCACCUUGCGCCCUUUGGUAUUCCGAAGGGCAUGCCUGUUUGAGUGUCAUUAAAUUAUCAACCUUGCUCGCUUUUACUAGCUUGAGUUUGGCUUGGAUGUGAGGGCUUUGCUGGCUUCCUUCAGUGGAUGGUCUGCUCCCUUUAAAUGCAUUAGUGGGAUCUCUUGUGGACCGUCACUUGGUGUGAUAAUUAUCUAUGCCUUGAGACUUUGAAGCAAACUAAUGGGAACCUGCUUAUAACCGUCUUCGGACAAUCUCUGACAUUUGACCUCAAAUCAGGUAGGACUACCCGCUGAACUUAA
This 324-nucleotide ribosomal RNA is filed under the name uncultured fungus. RNAcentral describes it as "eukaryotic LSU rRNA". The stretch from base 1 to 72 matches the Rfam family "5.8S ribosomal RNA", at positions 84 to 154 of the family's 154-position model. The record is from RNAcentral. Lineage: Eukaryota; Fungi.